UGACGGGGCGCAGCAGGCGCGAAACCUCUACAAUACACGAAAGUGUGAUAGGGGGAUCCUAAGUGCUCAUGCUUUGCAUGGGCUUUUGUCAAGAGUAAAUAUCUUGGCGAAUAAGUGGUGGGUAAGACUGGUGCCAGCCGCCGCGGUAACACCAGCGCCACAAGUGGUGACCAGCAUUAUUGGGCCUAAAGCGUCCGUAGCAGGGAGAAUAAAUCUUCUGUGAAACUGUUCAGCUUAACUGAACAACGUGCAGGGGACACUAUUUUUCUAGAGACCGGGAGGGGUCAGAGGUAUUUUUGGGGGAGCGGUAAAAUGCUAUAAUCCCAAGAGGACCACCGAUGGCAAAGGCAUCUGACCAGAACGGAUCUGACUGUGAGGGACGAAGGCCAGGGGAGCGAACCGGAUUAGAUACCCAAGUAGUCCUGGCAGUAAACGCUGCGAGCAAGGUGUUGCACAAUUUACGAGAUUGUGCAGUGUCGAAACGAAGGUGUUAAGCUCGCCGCCUGGGAAGUACGGUCGCAAGACUGAAACUUAAAGGAAUUGGCGGGGGAGCACUACAAGGGGUGCGGCGUGCGGUUUAAUCUACUCAACGCAGAGAAUCUCCCCAGGAGCGACGGCAGAAUGAAGGUCAGUCUGAAGGGCUUACCUAACAAGCCGAGAGGUGGUGCAUGGCCGCCGUCAGCUCGUGCCGUAAGGUGUCCAGUUAAGUCUGGCAACGAGCGAGACCUGUGCUCACAAUUGCUAACAACCUUUGGGAUUGAGUACAUUGUGAGGACUGCCUUGGAAACAAGGAGGAAGGUGCAGGCAACGGUAGGUCUGUAUGCCCCGAAUCCUCUGGGCUACACGCGCGCAACAAUGGUAAGGACAAUGGGAUGCAACUCCGAAAGGAGAAGCUAAACCUCUAAACCUUAUCCAAGUCUAGAUCGAGGAUUGUAACUCAUCCUCGUGACAACGGAAUCCCUAGUAAUCGGAUCUUAUCAUGGUCUGGUGAAUAUGUCCCUGCUCCUUGCACGAAUUCGCCGA
Molecule: ribosomal RNA, 1023 nt
Filed under: uncultured crenarchaeote
Lineage: Archaea; Thermoproteati; Thermoproteota
Description: bacterial SSU rRNA
Rfam family: Archaeal small subunit ribosomal RNA
Source: RNAcentral